AGAGUUUGAUCCUGGCUCAGAAUGAUCGUUGGCGGCGUGGAUUAGGCAUGCAAGUCGAACGGGCCGCAAGGCCAGUGGCGCAAGGGUGAGUUAGGCGAUGGCAACCAACCCCGCGAUUGGGCAUAGCCGAGGGAAACUUCGGGUAAUUCCCAGCGAUGUUCAGGACAGGCAUCUGUUUUGAACCAAAGGUGCGAUUCCGUCGCGGGACGGGCCAUCGUGGUAUUAGAUUGUUGGCGGGGUAACGGCCCACCAAGUCGUUGAUGCCUACCGGGCGUGUGAGCGUGGCCCGGCACACUGGGACUGAGACACUGCCCAGACUCCUACGGGAGGCUGCAGUCGAGAAUCUUCGGCAAUGGGCGCAAGCCUGACCGAGCGACGCCGCGUGGAGGAUGAAGGCCCUCGGGUUGUAAACUCCUGUCGAGGGGAAUGAAGGGGUCGUGAAGAACGAUCCUUGACCGAACCCUGGAGGAAGCACGGGCUAAGUUCGUGCCAGCAGCCGCGGUAAGACGAACCGUGCGAACGUUAUUCGGAAUCACUGGGCUUAAAGCGCGUGUAGGCGGAUCGGCGCGUCGUUCGUUGAAAGCCCCCGGCUCAACCGGGGAAUCGGCGGCGAUACGGCCGGUCUUGAGGAGCGCAGGGGAACCUGGAACUUCCGGUGGAGCGGUGAUAUGCGUUGAGAUCGGAAGGAACGCCCGUGGCGAAAGCGAGGUUCUGGACGCUUGCUGACGCUGAGACGCGAAAGCUAGGGGAGCAAACGGGAUUAGGUCCCCCGGUAGUCCUAGCUGUAAAC
Molecule: ribosomal RNA, 790 nt
Filed under: uncultured bacterium
Lineage: Bacteria
Description: bacterial SSU rRNA
Rfam family: Bacterial small subunit ribosomal RNA
Source: RNAcentral